RNAcentral lists this ribosomal RNA (938 nucleotides) under Enterococcus faecium. RNAcentral describes it as "bacterial SSU rRNA". It matches the Rfam family "Bacterial small subunit ribosomal RNA", at positions 67 to 978 of the family's 1533-position model. The record is from RNAcentral. Lineage: Bacteria; Bacillati; Bacillota; Bacilli; Lactobacillales; Enterococcaceae.
CUUCUUAGCACCGACAGCUUGCUCCACCGGAAAAAGAAGAGUGGCGAACGGGUGAGUAACACGUGGGUAACCUGCCCAUCAGAAGGGGAUAACACUUGGAAACAGGUGCUAAUACCGUAUAACAAUCAAAACCGCAUGGUUUUGAUUUGAAAGGCGCUUUCGGGUGUCGCUGAUGGAUGGACCCGCGGUGCAUUAGCUAGUUGGUGAGGUAACGGCUCACCAAGGCCACGAUGCAUAGCCGACCUGAGAGGGUGAUCGGCCACAUUGGGACUGAGACACGGCCCAAACUCCUACGGGAGGCAGCAGUAGGGAAUCUUCGGCAAUGGACGAAAGUCUGACCGAGCAACGCCGCGUGAGUGAAGAAGGUUUUCGGAUCGUAAAACUCUGUUGUUAGAGAAGAACAAGGAUGAGAGUAACUGUUCAUCCCUUGACGGUAUCUAACCAGAAAGCCACGGCUAACUACGUGCCAGCAGCCGCGGUAAUACGUAGGUGGCAAGCGUUGUCCGGAUUUAUUGGGCGUAAAGCGAGCGCAGGCGGUUUCUUAAGUCUGAUGUGAAAGCCCCCGGCUCAACCGGGGAGGGUCAUUGGAAACUGGGAGACUUGAGUGCAGAAGAGGAGAGUGGAAUUCCAUGUGUAGCGGUGAAAUGCGUAGAUAUAUGGAGGAACACCAGUGGCGAAGGCGGCUCUCUGGUCUGUAACUGACGCUGAGGCUCGAAAGCGUGGGGAGCAAACAGGAUUAGAUACCCUGGUAGUCCACGCCGUAAACGAUGAGUGCUAAGUGUUGGAGGGUUUCCGCCCUUCAGUGCUGCAGCUAACGCAUUAAGCACUCCGCCUGGGGAGUACGACCGCAAGGUUGAAACUCAAAGGAAUUGACGGGGGCCCGCACAAGCGGUGGAGCAUGUGGUUUAAUUCGAAGCAACGCGAAGAACCUUACCAGG